Malania oleifera is the source of this 374-nucleotide long non-coding RNA. RefSeq lists it as uncharacterized. The transcript has 4 exons. NCBI's taxonomy places the organism in Eukaryota, Viridiplantae, Streptophyta, Magnoliopsida, Santalales, Ximeniaceae. The record is from RefSeq and is a predicted model, not a curated record.
CUCUCUCUCUUCAAUUCCGGGCUAGUUUUACGCCGGAUCGACAAACCGAAGCCACCACGACGCUCCUGGCGAAGUUCUCUACAAGUCUGCCAGAGUGGAUCGUCAGGGAAACGAAGUUGGAUUUCAUCCCAAAUCCAAGUUCCAGGGUAUUGAUUGGGAACGUUGGGAAUCAUCCCUAAGUUGAGGGUAUUGAGUUGAGAACCUUGUGGGUACGGGGAAGAUUUUCUUAGGGGCUUUUCAGGAAUCAGGAGCCCCGGAUAGGAGAGCGGGAAAAGCCCCGCUGAUAUAGUACGGUCUAUCUACCCUUUUUGAAGGGUAAGUUUUGUAGGGACAGUUAGAUUUUGUGGGAAAUGUCCCUAGGUUUUAUUUUUGGG